GGAGGUGACAGGCGACUGGUGUCGCUCCUGGUCUUCAAAACCAGUGCGGCGUUCAACAGAGCGCCGGGUGGGUUCGAUUCCCAUUCGCCUCCGCCA
This 96-nucleotide transfer RNA is filed under the name Planctomycetota bacterium. Its description in RNAcentral is "tRNA-Sec". It matches the Rfam family "Selenocysteine transfer RNA". Lineage: Bacteria; Pseudomonadati; Planctomycetota. The record is from RNAcentral.